Molecule: ribosomal RNA, 492 nt
Filed under: uncultured bacterium
Lineage: Bacteria
Description: partial 16S ribosomal RNA
Rfam family: Bacterial small subunit ribosomal RNA
Source: RNAcentral
AGUGAACGCUGGCGGUAGGCCUAACACAUGCAAGUCGAACGGCAGCACAGUAAGAGCUUGCUCUUACGGGUGGCGAGUGGCGGACGGGUGAGGAAUACAUCGGAAUCUACUUUUUCGUGGGGGAUAACGUAGGGAAACUUACGCUAAUACCGCAUACGACCUACGGGUGAAAGCAGGGGAUCUUCGGACCUUGCGCGAUUGAAUGAGCCGAUGUCGGAUUAGCUAGUUGGCGGGGUAAAGGCCCACCAAGGCGACGAUCCGUAGCUAGUCUGAGAGGAUGAUCUGCCACACUGGAACUGAGACACGGUCCAGACUCCAACGGGAGGCAGCAGUGGGGAAUAUUGGACAAUGGGCGCAAGCCUGAUCCAGCCAUACCGCGUGAGUGAAGAAGGCCUUCGGGUUGUAAAGCCCUUUUGUUGGGAAAGAAAAGCAGCAGGUUAAUACCCCGCUGUUCUGACGGUACCCAAAGAAUAAGCACCGGCUAACUUCGUG